This is a non-coding RNA of Podarcis lilfordi (Lilford's wall lizard), 86 nucleotides long. NCBI's taxonomy places the organism in Eukaryota, Metazoa, Chordata, Lepidosauria, Squamata, Lacertidae. The record is from the annotation of a GenBank genome assembly.
GCAGUCAGGAUAGCUCAGUUGGUAGAGCAUGAGACUCUUAAUCUCACAGUUGUGGGUUCGAGCCUUCUGCAGCCUCCUACAUUGCA